Molecule: unclassified non-coding RNA, 300 nt
Organism: Equus asinus (donkey)
Lineage: Eukaryota; Metazoa; Chordata; Mammalia; Perissodactyla; Equidae
Rfam family: Metazoan signal recognition particle RNA
About the family: The signal recognition particle (SRP) is a universally conserved ribonucleoprotein. It is involved in the co-translational targeting of proteins to membranes. The eukaryotic SRP consists of a 300-nucleotide 7S RNA and six proteins: SRPs 72, 68, 54, 19, 14, and 9.
Source: Ensembl
GCCGGGCGCGGUGGCGCGCGCCUGUAGUCCCAGCUACUCGGGAGGCUGAGGCUGGAGGAUCGCUUGAGCCCAGGAGUUCUGGGCUGCCGUGCGCUAUGCCGAUCGGGUGUCCGCACUAAGUUCGGCAUCAAUAUGGUGACCUCCCGGGAGCGGGGGACCACCAGGUUGCCUAAGGAGGGGUGAACCGGCCCAGGUCGGAAACGGAGCAGGUCAAAACUCCCGUGCUGAUCAGUAGUGGGAUCGCGCCUGUGAAUAGCCACUGCACUCCAGCCUGGGCAACAUAGCGAGACCCUGUCUCUU